RNAcentral lists this ribosomal RNA (492 nucleotides) under uncultured bacterium. RNAcentral describes it as "partial 16S ribosomal RNA". It matches the Rfam family "Bacterial small subunit ribosomal RNA", at positions 29 to 507 of the family's 1533-position model. The record is from RNAcentral.
AGUGAACGCUGGCGGUAGGCCUAACACAUGCAAGUCGAACGGCAGCACAGUAAGAGCUUGCUCUUACGGGUGGCGAGUGGCGGACGGGUGAGGAAUACAUCGGAAUCUACUUUUUCGUGGGGGAUAACGUAGGGAAACUUACGCUAAUACCGCAUACGACCUACGGGUGAAAGCAGGGGAUCUUCGGACCUUGCGCGAUUGAAUGAGCCGAUGUCGGAUUAGCUAGUUGGCGGGGUAAAGGCCCACCAAGGCGACGAUCCGUAGCUGGUCUGAGAGGAUGAUCAGCCACACUGGAACUGAGACACGGUCCAGACUCCUACGGGAGGCAGCAGUGGGGAAUAUUGGACAAUGGGCGCAAGCCUGAUCCAGCCAUACCGCGUGUGUGAGGAAGGCGUUCGGGUUGUAAAGCCCUUUUGUUGGGAAAGAAAAGCAGCAGGUUAAUACCCCGCUGUUCUGACGGUACCCAAAGAAUAAGCACCGGCUAACUUCGUG